This 253-nucleotide ribosomal RNA is filed under the name uncultured bacterium. Its description in RNAcentral is "partial 16S ribosomal RNA". It matches the Rfam family "Bacterial small subunit ribosomal RNA", at positions 524 to 776 of the family's 1533-position model. The record is from RNAcentral.
UACGGAGGGUGGGAGCGUUGUCCGGAAUCACUGGGCGUAAAGGGCGCGUAGGCGGCGCGGAUAGUCGGCGGUGAAAGCCCGGAGCUCAACUCCGGGUCGGCCGUCGAUACUUCCGGGCUUGAGCACUGUAGAGGCAGAUGGAAUUCCGGGUGUAGCGGUGGAAUGCGUAGAGAUCCGGAGGAACACCAGUGGCGAAGGCGACUUUCUGGCCUGUUCUUGACGCUGAGGCGCGAAAGCUAGGGGAGCAAACGGG